GACGAACGCUGGCGGCGUGCUUAACACAUGCAAGUCGAACGGAAAGGCCCCGCUUUUGUGGGGUGCUCGAGUGGCGAACGGGUGAGUAACACGUGAGUAACCUGCCCUUGACUUUGGGAUAACUUCAGGAAACUGGGGCUAAUACCGGAUAGGAGCUCCUGCUGCAUGGUGGGGGUUGGAAAGUUUCGGCGGUUGGGGAUGGACUCGCGGCUUAUCAGCUUGUUGGUGGGGUAGUGGCUUACCAAGGCUUUGACGGGUAGCCGGCCUGAGAGGGUGACCGGCCACAUUGGGACUGAGAUACGGCCCAGACUCCUACGGGAGGCAGCAGUGGGGAAUAUUGCACAAUGGGCGGAAGCCUGAUGCAGCAACGCCGCGUGCGGGAUGACGGCCUUCGGGUUGUAAACCGCUUUCGCCUGUGACGAAGCGUGAGUGACGGUAAUGGGUAAGGAAGCACCGGCUAACUACGUG
This 468-nucleotide ribosomal RNA is filed under the name uncultured bacterium. Its description in RNAcentral is "partial 16S ribosomal RNA". It matches the Rfam family "Bacterial small subunit ribosomal RNA", at positions 28 to 507 of the family's 1533-position model. The record is from RNAcentral.